AAUGUGGAAUGGAAAUGCAGAAAAUUGUUGUUGCUAGGUCCUAUUAACUAGGAUUCCUCAUACGUGAAAUCAAAUAUUUGAUAAUCAGAUGCGUGAACAUAACAUGUUUAGCAUGAAAACUCAUACUUCAACCAUCAAUUUUCGAAUAGGCAAAAACAUCAACAAAAUAAAUCACAUUAGUAAGCAAUGCCUAAUAGGAUCACAUGCUUUAACCUAAGCAUAUUGUUUGCAUCAGAGAUAAACAUAGAAGAAUAUUCAAACAAAUUCAACAUAAAAGAAGAUUCAAACAAAUUUGGCCAUUAAAUAUGCUAGAUCUAUAGAAUUAGGCAGUAAACAACUUUAAUUUUACUCCCGAUUUCAAUUUAAAACUACAGAGGUGUUUGAACAUACCUACACAGUAGCAAACAAGUCUCAAAAUGACCAAAUAAAGGUUGAGAACAUCUACAACUGAAAUUCAGCUACUAGUUGAUAGAGAACAACAACAAACAACCAGUAAUCAAAGCUGGAUCCACUUCGAAACCCAGAAAUGCAAGAGAGAAUACAACAAUCGAAAAAGCUACAACUUAUGAACUGUUUUGGGUGCAAAGCUAACCUAGAAUUCCACUGUCAUACUCAUUCUUUUCAGAUUGUUUUAGUUUUCAGAUCUAAUAUUGUUUUUUUGAAGUUUUUGUGAGUAAAAUCUCAAUGAAAAUGUAGAAGGAAUAUGUGUAAAAAAUAUAUAGUGUAUCUGAUCAGAGAGUCUAAAAAUCUGUGUGAGAGUCAGUGCAUUUAUAAUAGAAUUUAGGGCAACAACUAGAUUUUUCUAAUUCAUUUUCACCCUUUAAACUUUCUAUUAUUUACCCUUAGAUCCCAAAUUCUGAGUUGAUUCUAUUUUUCUUUUGCAAAGACAACCCUUUUUUCCUUUUCUUAGAAGCUUAUUUUCUAACUAACUAAGAUUUUCUAAACCAAUUCCCUACAUUUCCCUUAGCUACUUCAGCAUUUACCCCUCUUCCAGAUUUUACCUCUUCUCUUGUAUUCAAUUCUCAAUCUCAUUUAAAUCAAACUCUUAAUGGGCCUGUAAUACGGAAUGAGCUAAUUUUGAAAGACCUGGGCUUAUUCCACUAAUACAAACUCAAAAACCAGGCUUGGCCUAAACCAAAUCAAAGCCUACUGCCACUUCUUGCCUAAAUACCAUUACACAAAAGUGGCAAAUACCUAAAUGAUCCACAAAUAAAAAUACUACUCGAUUAAGCAUAAAUUAAACUCUCAAGUAAUUAAACACCACUGAAUCAUCGAGCUUAUAACAAUAAUAUCCAAUUACCCAUAUAGUAUCUAAAAACUCUUCAUAGAAAUGAAAACAUGAUAACUAAACAAGGAAUUUGCAAUUAAAACAACCACUGAACCUAAAGUGACUAAACAAUUAAAUGUGCAAUUCACAGAAAGAUACAAGGGAGAGAUAUACCUAUCGAGGUUGAACAAAUCGAUGAAAGGGAAGCCCACGAGCUGGACGAAUAGGAUGGAAUAAUUGGGGAGCAACUGACCGAUCAAUGAUGUUUCGACCGAAUUCCAAUAGCCAUGAAAUGAACCAAGACUAACAUCAAUCAAUUGCUCUCGUCAAGAGCAAUUAAUUGAUGUAGGUUUUGAGUUCAGGAGGUGGAGAAGGGGAUUGGCGUUCAGAUUGGUUGUGAGUAACAACAACCCUACUCCUCUUUGUUGAAAAUGAGGAAAUUUUAGAUCAUUUUUUCUUACCAUUCUCAUCUCCCGCCUCCGGCUUCUAUGAGAUAACAGAAAAGACCACAAAGAUUUAAUGUAUUGUCGUACAUAUUUAUAUCAUCAAUGAUAAUAAAUCACUUAACAAUAAAUGAAAUAUUUCAAGCUAUAUAUAAACUUAUAGUACAUAAAGAAAUCUUUUUCAUGGUGGAACCAACUAAAAGGCAACUAAAGGUAAUCGGAAUCUGUGUAAGAGUCAGUGUAUUUAUAACAGAAUUUUCAGGGCAAUACCUAGAUUUUUUUAAUUUAUUUCCACCCUUUAAACUUUCUGUUAUUUAUCCUUAGACCCCAAAUUCUGACUUGUUUAUAUUUUUAUUUUGCAGAGACGACCCUUUUUUUCUUUUUCUAGAAGCUUCUUUCUUAACUAACUAAGAUUCCCUAAGUCAAUUCCCUACGUUGCCCUUUACUACUACAGUAUUUACCCCUCAUCCAGAUUUUACCUCUUCUCUUACAUUCAAUUCUCAAUCUCAUUUAAAUCAAACUCAGAAUGGGCCUAUAAUAUGAAAUGGGCUAAUUUUGACAGACCUGGGCCUUGUUCCAAUAAUCCAAACUCAAAACCUGACUUGACCUAAACCAAAUCAAAGCCUAUUGCACUUCCUGCCUAAAUGCCAUUAAACAAAAGUGACAAAUACCUAAAUGAUCCACAAAUAAAAUAACUACUCGAUUAAGAAAAUUAAACUCUCAAGUAAUUAAGCACUGUUGAAUCAUCGAGCUUAUAACAAUAAUAUCCAAUUACCCACAUAGUUUCGAAAAACUCUUCAAAGAAAUGAAACAAGAUAACAAAACAAGGAAUUUGCAAUUAAAACAAACUGAACCUAAAGCGACUAAAUAGUUAAAUGCGCAAUUCACAGAAAGAUACAAGGGAGAGAUAUACCUAUCGAGGUCGAAAAAACGAUGAAAGGGAAGCCCACAAGCUGGAGGAACCUGAUGGAACAAUUGGGGAGCAACCAACCGAUCAAUGAUGUCUCGACGGAAUUCCAAUAGCCGUGAAAUGAACCAAGACUAUUAUCAAUCAAUUGCUCUCAUCAAGAGCAAUUAAUUGAUGUGGGUUUCGAGUUCAAGCGGGAGGGGGGGGGGGGAUUGAGAGAUCCUCACUCGUUCAGAUUAGUUGUGAGUAACAACAACCCUACUCCUCUUUGUUGAGAAUGAUAAAAUUUUAGAUCCUUUUUUCUUAUCAUCCUCAUCUCCGGCCUCCGGCCUCUAUGAGAUAACAAAAAAGAUCAUAAAGAUUUAAUGUAUUGCAAAAUAUAUCUAUAUCAUCAAAGAUAAUAAAUCACUUUACAAUAAAACAAAAAUGAAAUAUUUCAAGCUAUAUAUAGACUUAUAGUACGUAAAGAGAUAUUCUCCACUGUUGAACCAACUAAAAGGCAACUAAAGGUAGCAAGAAUCUGUGUAAGAGUCAGUAUAUUUAUAACAAAAUUUUUAGGGCAAUACCUAAAUUUUUCUAAUUCAUUUUCACCCUUUAAAUUUUCUCUUAUUUACCCUUAGAUCCCAAAUUCUGACCUGUUUCUAUUUUAAUUUUGCAGAGACGACCCUUUUUUUCUUUUCCUAGAAGCUUCUUUCCUAACUAACUAAGAUUCCCUAAGCCAAUUUCCUACAUUUCCCUUCACUACUUCAGUAUUUACCCCUCUUCCAGAUUUUACCUCUUCUCUUACAUUGAAUUCUCAAUCUCAUUAAAUCAAACUCAGAAUGGACAUGUAAUAUGAAAUGGACUAAUUUUGAUAAACCCGGGCCUUGUUCCAUUAAACCAAACUCAAAAUCAGACUUGACCUAAUCCAAAUCAAGGCCUACUGCCACUUCUUGCCUAAAUAUCAUUAAACAAAGGUGACAAAUAUCUAAAUGAUCCAAAAAUAAAAUAACUACUCGAUUAAGUAAUUAAUCUCUCAAGUAACUAAACACCACUGAAUCAUCGAGCUUAUAACAAUAAUAUCCAAUUACCCAUAUAGUUUUGAAAAACUCUUCAAAGAAAUGAAAACAUGAUAAUUAAACAAGGAAUUUGGAAUUAAAAUAAACCGAACCUAGAUCAACUAAACAGUUAAAUGCACAAUUCACAUAAAUAUACAAGGGAGAGAUAUACCUAUCGAGGUCGAACAAAUUGAUGAAAGGGAAGCCCACAAGCUGGAGGAACAUGAUGGAACAAUUGAGGAGCAACCGACCGGUCAAUGAUAUUUUGACCUAAUUCCAAUAGCCGUGAAAUGAACCAAGACUAACAUCAAUCAAUUGCUCUUAUCUAGAGCAAUCAGUUGAUGUAGAUUUCGAGUUCAAGCGGGCCAGAAUUGAUGGGAAAAAUCACAAAGGGAGGAAUUAGGUUUUCUAUAGAUUCUUAGAUCUACUAACAGAGAAAACCUAGGGUUUUUUUCACAAAACUAAUGGUAAGAGAGGUAUGGGGGGAUGAUGGAGAUUAUGUGGUGAUAAUUUAGUGCUAAUUAGUGGUUGGCCGCCGUCGUGGGGCGAUUUUCAGCGGCAACAGAACAGUGAGAAUGAGAGAGAAGGUAUGAGACGGUCUUUAGGGUUG
RNAcentral lists this long non-coding RNA (4264 nucleotides) under Nicotiana tabacum (common tobacco). Its description in RNAcentral is "long non-coding RNA (NTAB_LNC008635)". The record is from RNAcentral. Lineage: Eukaryota; Viridiplantae; Streptophyta; Magnoliopsida; Solanales; Solanaceae.